RNAcentral lists this unclassified non-coding RNA (265 nucleotides) under Ascomycota sp. RNAcentral's name for it is "partial contains small subunit ribosomal RNA, internal transcribed spacer 1, and 5.8S ribosomal RNA". The stretch from base 1 to 47 matches the Rfam family "Eukaryotic small subunit ribosomal RNA", at positions 1785 to 1831 of the family's 1831-position model. The record is from RNAcentral. Lineage: Eukaryota; Fungi; Ascomycota.
AAAGUCGUAACAAGGUUUCCGUAGGUGAACCUGCGGAAGGAUCAUUAAUAAAUAUACUGUGACCCGCAAGGGUCUAAUGUAUCCACCCUUUGUGAAACUUCUAUUUUUGCUUCGGCAGCGCUCCCAGUGGUUAACACCUGCUGGUGGGAUAAGGCUGUCAGAAGACCCAACAAAACUAGUUUGAUGAAAUGUCAUGCAGUCUGAUAACCAUUUUUUGAGAAAUCAAAUUAUGUUAAAACUUUCAGCAACGGAUCUCUUGGUUCUC